Long non-coding RNA from Onychostruthus taczanowskii (white-rumped snowfinch), 340 nucleotides. RefSeq lists it as uncharacterized. The record is from RefSeq and is a predicted model, not a curated record. The transcript has 3 exons. Lineage: Eukaryota; Metazoa; Chordata; Aves; Passeriformes; Passeridae.
GGGGGGGGGGGGCCCCCGCGGGACCCCCCCGGAGCCCCCCCGGCAGCGCCCUGGAGCGGGGGGCGUGGCUGCACGCGCGCUGGUUGGACGCGGGGCGGUCGCUGCUGGAGCAGGGCGUGGCCGAGGAUGAGGAGCUGCUGCUGCGCUUCAAAUUCCCGUGCGCCCGGGGGGACCCCCAGGAGGGGCUGCACGCGGCGCUGCUGCAGGAGCAGGCGCUGGGGUCGCUCCUGGCCGAGGAGAUCGAGUGCAGCGAGGAGCAGGGGCUGCGCUUCGCUGCCCUGCAGGUACCCCGGAACACCCCGAAAACACCCCGGAAACAUCCCGGAAAUACCCUGAGAAC